UGGACCGGAGCGUCGAAUGUACAGGAAGCAUCCAAGCUAUGAUCUCUGCCUUUGAAUGUGUUCAUGAUGGUUGGGGUGUCGCCGUGCUAGUCGGUGUUCCAAAUAAAGAUGAUGCAUUCAAAACCCAUCCUAUGAAUUUCUUAAAUGAGAGGACUCUGAAGGGUACCUUCUAUGGAAACU
Molecule: long non-coding RNA, 180 nt
Organism: Morus notabilis
Lineage: Eukaryota; Viridiplantae; Streptophyta; Magnoliopsida; Rosales; Moraceae
Exons: 2
Source: RefSeq, a predicted model, not a curated record